UGGGGAAUCUUGCGCAAUGGCCGAAAGGCUGACGCAGCGACGCCGCGUGUGGGAGGAAGCUCUUCGGGGUGUAAACCACUGUUGCCCGGGACGAACACACCUAUUCGUAGGUGCUGACGGUACCGGGUGAGGAAGCACCGGCUAACUCUGUGCCAGCAGCCGCGGUAAUACAGAGGGUGCGAGCGUUGUCCGGAAUCACUGGGCGUAAAGGGCGCGUAGGUGGUGGCUUAAGCGUGCGGUGAAAGCUCGGAGCUCAACUCCGAGUCGGCCGUGCGAACUGGGCUCACUGGAGCAUAGUAGAGGCAGGUGGAAUUCCGGGUGUAGCGGUGGAAUGCGUAGAGAUCCGGAAGAACACCGGUGGCGAAGGCGGCCUGCUGGGCUAUGGCUGACACUGAGGCGCGACAGCGUGGGGAGCAAACA
Molecule: ribosomal RNA, 420 nt
Filed under: uncultured Gemmatimonadota bacterium
Lineage: Bacteria; Pseudomonadati; Gemmatimonadota
Also listed under: 1 other name
Description: partial 16S ribosomal RNA
Rfam family: Bacterial small subunit ribosomal RNA
Source: RNAcentral